AAGUCGUAACAAGGUUUCCGUAGGUGAACCUGCGGAAGGAUCAUUACUUUCAGUACUUUGGGGGCUGUCAGUCUAUAUCACUAUAGCGAGCCUCCGUCUGAAACCCUUGUCUUUUGCGUACCUUAUGUUUCCUCGGCGGGCUUGCCCGCCGGUUGGACAACCUUAAAACCUUUUUAAUUUUCAAUCAGCGUCUGAAAAAACAUAAUAAUUACAACUUUCAACAACGGAUCUCUUGGUUCUG
RNAcentral lists this unclassified non-coding RNA (241 nucleotides) under fungal sp. RNAcentral describes it as "partial internal transcribed spacer region". The stretch from base 1 to 46 matches the Rfam family "Eukaryotic small subunit ribosomal RNA", at positions 1786 to 1831 of the family's 1831-position model. Lineage: Eukaryota; Fungi. The record is from RNAcentral.